GACGAACGCUGGCGGCGCGCUUAACACGUGCAAGUCGAGCGAUGAAAUCUUAACAGAACCCUUCGGGGUGAAGAUAAGACGGAUUAGCGGCGGACGGGUGAGUAACACGUGAGUAACCUGCCUUUUACACAGGGAUAGCCUCAGGAAACCGGGAUUAAAACCUGAUGAAACUAUCAAAUCACAUGAUUAAGAAAGUUAAAACUCCGGUGGUAAAAGAUGGACUCGCGUCCCAUUAGCUAGUUGGUGAAGGUAACGGCCCACCAAGGCAACGAUGGGUAGCCGGCCUGAGAGGGUGAACGGCCACAUUGGAACUGAGAAACGGUCCAAACUCCUACGGGAGGCAGCAGUGGGGAAUAUUGCACAAUGGGGGAAACCCUGAUGCAGCGACGCCGCGUGAGCGAAGAAGGCCUUCGGGUCGUAAAGCUCUUUUAUAUGGGAAGAUAAUGACGGUACCAUAAGAAAAAGCCCCGGCUAACUACGUG
RNAcentral lists this ribosomal RNA (482 nucleotides) under uncultured bacterium. RNAcentral describes it as "partial 16S ribosomal RNA". It matches the Rfam family "Bacterial small subunit ribosomal RNA", at positions 28 to 507 of the family's 1533-position model. The record is from RNAcentral.